RNAcentral lists this ribosomal RNA (857 nucleotides) under uncultured bacterium. RNAcentral describes it as "bacterial SSU rRNA". It matches the Rfam family "Bacterial small subunit ribosomal RNA", at positions 43 to 877 of the family's 1533-position model. The record is from RNAcentral.
CGUGCCUAACACAUGCAAGUCGAGCGAGAAAGCCCGCAAGGGUGAGUAAAGCGGCGCACGGGUGCGUAACACGUGGGUAAUCUUCCUUGGAGCCCGGAAUAACUCCCCGAAAGGGGUGCUAAUGCCGGAUGAGACCACGGGAUCCCCGGAUCCUGAGGGAAAAGGCGGCCUCUGUACACAAGCUGUCACUCCAAGAUGAGCCCGCGGCCCAUCAGCUAGUUGGCGGGGUAAUGGCCCACCAAGGCUACGACGGGUAGCUGGUCUGAGAGGACGAUCAGCCACACUGGAACUGAGACACGGUCCAGACUCCUACGGGAGGCAGCAGUGGGGAAUCUUGCGCAAUGGGCGAAAGCCUGACGCAGCAACGCCGCGUGUGUGAUGAAGGUCUUCGGAUCGUAAAGCACUGUCGGGAGGGACGAAUAAGGCGGCGGCUAACAUCCGCUGCCGAUGACGGUACCUCCAAAGGAAGCACCGGCUAACUCUGUGCCAGCAGCCGCGGUAAUACAGAGGGUGCUAGCGUUGUUCGGAAUUAUUGGGCGUAAAGCGCGUGUAGGCGGCCUUGCAAGUUGGGUGUGAAAGCCCUCGGCUUAACCGAGGAAGUGCGCCCAAAACUACAGGGCUUGAGUACCGGAGAGGGUGGCGGAAUUCCCGGUGUAGAGGUGAAAUUCGUAGAUAUCGGGAGGAACACCAGUGGCGAAGGCGGCCACCUGGACGGAUACUGACGCUGAGACGCGAAAGCGUGGGUAGCAAACAGGAUUAGAUACCCUGGUAGUCCACGCUGUAAACGAUGAGCGCUAGGUGUUGUGGGUGUUGACCCCCGCAGUGCCGCAGCUAACGCAUUAAGCGCUCCGCCUGGG